This 752-nucleotide long non-coding RNA is filed under the name Rattus norvegicus (Norway rat). Its description in RNAcentral is "long non-coding RNA NONRATT020975". The record is from RNAcentral. Lineage: Eukaryota; Metazoa; Chordata; Mammalia; Rodentia; Muridae.
CUUUUUUUGUCUUUUCUUUUCCCCCCUCAGCCUCAGCGUUGUCCGUAAACGAAAGAGCUCAAGGCCGACCGUUCUGUGGAAGAGUUUUGGCUGCCAUGAUCGCGCAGCUGGCACCUCAGAAAGAGUGAGAGUAGCAGAAGCCAGAGUCCGUCGCCUUAAGAUACUGGGGUUUGCUUUGGCGUCUCCCCCACCCCCCCCUUUUUUUUUUUUUACGAUGCAAAACAAAAGAAAAAAAAAAAAACUUGGCCCAUGGCGCCUGCGCAGUGCUUGUUUACCGCGGGGCCAGCGCCGGCCUCCUCCUCCCAGAGCCUGCGCUUGCGCCUGCGCCUGCGCCUGCGCCUGCACGGGUGACGUGGAUUUCUCCGAGAAAACCGCGCCUGCUGGUCCCAGGACUAGAGAGUGAGCAGCAGAGUGUGCAGUGGAAAUCUUGGAGAAGUGAAAUGAAAACAACAACGCCCCGAAGUCGGUGUCGCGUCAGAGUCGAGAGCACAAAUGACCCAGGUGCUGUGCGCCCCACCAUCGCUAAAGUGAGCAGCGGAGCGGGGCGUGAGAGCGAAGACCCGAGGCGCUGACGCCUAAUUAAAGGAUGGACUUUGUUUAGCAAAGAUGCAAAUAAGUCUGACCCUCAGGCCGCCGAGUUCGAGCAAUUUCUGCCUGGUCUAAGACUGGUUCUUGAAGCAAACUCAGAAAGGGCUGCCAUGCAAAUUUUGAAACUAGAAAGAGCUGACACUAGAAGCAAUAACCCUUUAAAG